ACAGAAAUACCCUCAGGUGGCGUCGGACGCAAACAAACAAAGAAAGCACAAUCAUCUACCGUCAUCGCCUUUUAUCUCUGCAUAAGAUGGUCAGUCACUCUGAGAGAUGCCCUUAAAGCUUUCCUUGCUCUUUUAUUUUGCCAGUCGAAAUCUGAAAGAUCCUUUUACUCUUCGUCACUCUAGCCAAAAGGACAAAAGCUUCAAAUCGCAUCCUGAUUGGCGGAAGCUUGUCCAAAGUUGGUGAAUAGAUGGGAAAGAAGCUAGUACUAGGCACAUUCAUCUAGUUUCGAAAUCGCAAAUGUUGUCGAACCAGUUCGUAAUCUCCUUGUUCCUUCUUCUUUGUCUCCCCAUCGUCUUCUUCCUCGUUGCCCCUCAUGUCUUCUCCCCUCCUCCACGCGAAUCUCUCAUCCCUAUCGCCGACGAGAUCGACGACCAGAUCCUAUUCCGCCGCGCCUCCGCCGGAUCCUCCUCGCAUCUUUCCUCCGGAACCCCACACCCUAAGCUCAAAAUCGCCUUCCUUUUCCUCACAAACUCCGACCUCCACUUCGCGCCAAUCUGGGAUGGCUUCUUCUCCGGCCACCCUCGGUCUCUCUACAACGUCUACGUCCACGCCGCAUGGCGUAGGAAAACUCUUAGUUUGUAAGAAAAAUACAAGCAUGCAAAACUAUUAGAUUUUAAUGUUUGCAUUUGAAACAUCAAUCCUCCGUUUAUUUAUCUACAUAUAUAAAGUAUUGUUUCCUUAAUUCGAAGCGCGGCAACUGAAUUCAUUUAGUAUUUGAAUUGACAUUUUAAGUUUCAAAAGUGGUGUAACAUUAGAUGCGAUAACUACUUCCCAAGAUGUGGAGAAUCAGAAGAAUCAGCUACUCAUGCAAUUUUUGAUUGUCCACCAGCUCUACAAGUUUGGGGCUUAUCUUCGACGCCAACGAGUUCAAUUAUCUUUCAUGUUUCGAGUAUCUAUGCUAACGUGGAUUAUCUCUUUCGGAAGAAUAGCAUUGUUGAGCCAGAUAUAGAUAGAGAUCCUUAUCCAUGGGUAAUAUGACACAUUUGGAAGGACAUAAAUGAUAAACUCUUUAGGGAAUAGACCGAGUCCUUUGAAGCUAGUUUGCUAUGCAGAGAAUGAGUGUUAAGCCUGGUUCAAUGCAAAUGAGAUGGUGCCAUCAACUUCACAAAACCAUAGUAAUGACGAACCUCAAGUCUUAAGCUUGGGUAAUAUCUGCAUAAUAGACGGGUCAUGGAUAUCUACAUCACAGUUCAGCGGGUGUGGAUGGGCUUGGAUGGACAGCUUGGAGAAGGAAUUCAACUUAUGGGGAUAUGAAAUUAUAUUCGACGAAAGUCUCCUCUGCACUCAGAAGUAGAAGCACUAAGAUGGGCGAUGGAGAAUAUGCUGUAAUACUCGACAUGCAGAGCUUUGGAACAUACUGCAAGGAUUUGUUCGCCAUGAUUGAGGAACCACACGCUUUGCCAAGUUUUGCAACAUAAUUAGAGAGGAUAGAGACUUUGCAAAUAUGUUUACCAGACUUUGCAACAACAAAAAAAUGCUUUAACCAUAUAUAUGUGUGUAUAUAUAUAUCUUUUUUUUUUGUCAACAUAUAUAUAUGAAUCUUAGUUCUAGACAUUAGACACGUUGAUGUUGAUCAUUUUCCUAAAAGCUAAAAUAACAUGAUCAAAUUAUCACCGACGAGAUCAUGGCGUUAACACAAGUGGGAGGCAAGGAACGCAAUCGUUACAUGACGUGGUUAGGGACACAGAGUGUGUGUGGGUCAUGGAUUGACAGAAAUACCCUCAGGUGGCGUCGGACGCAAACAAACAAAGAAAGCACAAUCAUCUACCGUCAUCGCCUUUUAUCUCUGCAUAAGAUGGUCAGUCACUCUGAGAGAUGCCCUUAAAGCUUUCCUUGCUCUUUUAUUUUGCCAGUCGAAAUCUGAAAGAUCCUUUUACUCUUCGUCACUCUAGCCAAAAGGACAAAAGCUUCAAAUCGCAUCCUGAUUGGCGGAAGCUUGUCCAAAGUUGGUGAAUAGAUGGGAAAGAAGCUAGUACUAGGCACAUUCAUCUAGUUUCGAAAUCGCAAAUGUUGUCGAACCAGUUCGUAAUCUCCUUGUUCCUUCUUCUUUGUCUCCCCAUCGUCUUCUUCCUCGUUGCCCCUCAUGUCUUCUCCCCUCCUCCACGCGAAUCUCUCAUCCCUAUCGCCGACGAGAUCGACGACCAGAUCCUAUUCCGCCGCGCCUCCGCCGGAUCCUCCUCGCAUCUUUCCUCCGGAACCCCACACCCUAAGCUCAAAAUCGCCUUCCUUUUCCUCACAAACUCCGACCUCCACUUCGCGCCAAUCUGGGAUGGCUUCUUCUCCGGCCACCCUCGGUCUCUCUACAACGUCUACGUCCACGCCGAUCCCUUCGUCAACAUCACCAGACCCGGCAACGGCUCCGUCUUCCAGAACGCCUUCAUCACCUCCGCCAAACG
Molecule: long non-coding RNA, 2457 nt
Filed under: Brassica napus (rape)
Lineage: Eukaryota; Viridiplantae; Streptophyta; Magnoliopsida; Brassicales; Brassicaceae
Description: long non-coding RNA (BNAP_LNC005265)
Source: RNAcentral